UUCACCUGCCGCUGAGGCUCUUCCCCUCUCUCCCGGCUCCUUGCCUGGCUGUUUCUUACAUAUACUGCACCUCCACGGACAUGGAAUCACUUUCUUACCCAUGUGGCUUCAAGGGCUUUCAAUAGAUAGGAACUACGGUUUGAAUGUGGUCUGAAUGUGUCCUCUGGGAGAUGUUUGUCUCCCAGUGUGCAGUGUUGAGGUGGUGGAACCUUUAAGACAUAGUUUUGCCUUGUGAAAGGUAACGAGGCCAGGGCCCUGCGGCCUCAGAGGGGAUGAGUGCUCAUCUCGUGGACUGAAUUCAUUCCUGAGAAUGGGUCGUUGUCAAAGGAGCCUGGCACCUUCCCCGAACACUCUUCUGAGUGCACCACUUGCCCCUCACACAAGCUCCCCCACAUGUUCCCACCAUCAUGGUGCCACCUGCUCUUGAACAUCCAGGACUGCAAGCUAACUAAAAACUCUUUUCUUUAUCAAGUAUCCAGUCUCAGGUAUUUUGUUAUAGCAACAGAAAAUAAACUAAGACAGAAGGUCUCCCUGGGUAGUAUCCAGUUUAUCACCACCAACCUGGGCUUCCUUCUUCCCCAUGGCUUCAUAGCUCAAAACACAUUAGGCUUUGAUGUAUUUACUCUCCUUCCAUGGAAUUCUAUCCCACAUGUUAAAGGUUGAUGUCAUUGUUUCCACAUAUGACUACCAACAUCAUCCCUAAGUUAAUUGUAGUAGGUCAUGGAGCAUAAGGAUUGUGUCUCAUGCUUUUCUGUGACUCAUUAAGCUACAUCUGGUCAUGGUUCCAGCUUCAUGGGGCAAACAGGAUUAGAGAGGGAGGCCAACCUGCAGAGAGAAGCAGGGGCAGAGGUGGGUUGGAGUGGAGGCAUCCUGGGGAAUGGGCUGAAUCCACUGAUAGCAGCUCCUUGCACUAUCUGUAGUCCUUUUGGUGAGCUGAGUCAAGAGAACCUGACCAAAACAUUCAAGGUCAUGAGAUAAAAUUGCCUCUCAGUUGUACCUUCUUCCAUGUUCGGCCCUCCCAACCACGGUCAGCCCCUCCCACCCCCUCUACAUCAGGGAAGCAGAGCUCAAACACCUUCCUGGUGUGUGGGAAAAGCUAUGUGGAACCGCUUCUGCCACCAGAAGUGUGUCUUGGUGUCGCAUCGUUGAAUGGAGGAGCCAGACCACCUCUGUGGAAGUCAGAAGGUCUCCUUUGAGCCAUGGUGUUGAAAUCUAUACACGGUUCCCUGGCAAGUCACCAACACUUUAGGUUGUUUGCAAAGAGAGAAAUUAAAGGAUAAAGAAAAAAAAAAAAACAUCUACUUGGAAUCGCGCAUGAAUCUUCUCCAGAACCUUCAGGAAACAAGCCCAGAAAUGUCAAGGUUGAGCUGCUUAAGGUGACACAGAUAAUAAAUGGCCAGACACCAGGAUACAAAUCCUGACUUCUAGCAAAAUCUCCAUUCUGUUCCAGCUGCAGUCUCUGCUCCAUGGUGGAUUGCCACGUCACAUGAAGCCUUCAUUGUAGGAACUUAGAACUUCUGAUUUUGAAAAUUAUGGAAUCCUGUUGUUCUCUGUGUGCUCAGGGAGGAAGUCAGGACACUGCAAAAGGACACUCUGCAAACCUCAUUGCAUCUGGGUGCCAGUGGUUUGCCUUUUGAACUAUGGAUCCUUUGUGAUAUUCACCCUGAUAGUCUUUGUGCUUCCUGCCUCCCGAGAAGGCUGAUGGAUUCUUCUAGGUGCCGGACAUGGAGACACGUGCCUGUUGUCCCUCCAUUCAGGAGGAUGAAGCUGGAUGACUGCUUGAGCCCUUGAGUUUGAGACCAGCCUGGGCAACAUAGAAAGACGCCAUGCAAAAAAAAAAAAAAAAAAUUCUUCCGGCUUACUGUCCCCUUGUCAGGCAGGCUGCAGCCGUGCUGGCCUUCCUCUGCCUCCUUCCCUUUGGAGGCUUGCAGUUCCAGUUCCUUCUGUCUGCUCUUCUCCACCAUUCUCACACGCCCGCCCAUCUCCACCCAUCAGAUCUCAGCUCAGACCUCACCCCUAGGGGGAGCCCUCUCCACCUUGGGCACCCUAGUCUCAGCUUCCUGUUCUAGAACCUGGCUUGUCUACUCCAGGGCAUGGUGGGCAGUGACUGGGAACAUCCUUCCUCGCCGUCCUGACUCCAGAAUGCAAGUGCUUACCACGGGGACUUGGAUGCCUUGUUUUCAGAGGGGCCUUGAUAAAGAUGGCAAAAUGAAUCAAACAAAUGAGAUGAAGAGUCUGCCUGAAGGUUCGGUCUCUAACCUCUGUCAUUACUACUCAGGAAGCCGCCAAGGUUGUAAGGGCAAUUGGGGGACUGAAGGCUGUUCUUGGCAGGUGCCAGUCCCUUGGAUCCAGCUUCGCACAGAAUCCUUGCCCCCAAACAUGCGUAACCCUCCAGCAUAAACAGGAGGUGGUGAUUGGACAAUUAAAACCACAACAUUUAGAUCCUUUGAAUUUAGUUAGAUUACUCAGAAAUCAAUCAAUUCUUGUAACAAUUAGUUUAUUAUUAUUAAGUACUGGGGAUUGAAGCCAGGGGUGCUUCAUCAUUGAGACACACCCCCAGCCACCUUUUCAUUUUUUUUUUUUUUAUUUUGAGACAGGAGCUCCCUAAGUUACUGAGGCUGGCCUCGAAUUUGCAGUCUUCCUGCCUCAGCCUACCAAGUUACUGGGAUCUGGCCAGUUUUAUUAUUUUAAGCACUAAUGCAUGCUAUAGCAAAUCCCAAUGAUUAACAAAAGCCGUAGUAGCAAAUCUUUCCACUCACUACAGACCUAGACACUGUACUUUCAGAUCAAGUUUACCUAUUUUUAAUUCCUUUAUACUUAUAAUAGGUAGGUGCUAUUACAAUCAUCCCUGUUUUACAGUUGAGGAAACUGGCUCAAAAAGGUUAAAUUACCUGCCCCACAGUGUUGGUAAGUGACAGAAAAAGGAUUAAACUCAUGUUUUCUAAGACACAUCAGGAUAGGGGCAAGUCCACUUCACCCUUCUGUCUCCACCCAUCUAGGUCCCUCCCUGAAGCCAUCCUAUAUUGCCAGUUUCUUCCACAUCCUUCCAAAGAGGCCAUGCAUAUAUAAUUUCAGAUGUGUGUGGGGGGGUUCACCUAAAAACUAUAAUAAACACUCCUACUCAUUUUCUCAAUAUCAGGAACUCUCCUCAUCUUUUUUAAUAACAACAGUCUGCUGAAUAGAUGAGCUAUAAGUUAAUCAAAGGGCACUUAGGUUGUAGAUAAUCACUUGCUUUUUCAAACAAUGUCCUUUGCCUCCUUUUACCCAUACAUCCUUUCACACCUGUAUGAAUGUAUCUGUAGAUAAAUUACUUCACCCUUUUUUUCCCCCAGUAGUGGGUAUUGAAUGAACCCAGGGCCUCACACAUGCUAGGCAACUGCUCCACCACUGAACUACACCCCAGGCUUUUUAACAUUCCAUUUUGAAACAGAGUCUCACUAAAUUGCCCAGGCUGGCCUUGAACUUGUGAUCCUCCUGCUUUAGCCUCCCAAGUAGCUGGGAUUACGGGCGUGUGCCACCAUGCCUGGCUUGCAUGCAUUUUUAAAAUGUGCCCUCAGGGCUCCAUGUGAAACUAUAAAGUGCUCUCAGCUGCGUGCCAUCUCCACUGCUUGGAGGAGCAGGAAAAGAUGGGACUUUGGAACCCGCAAAUCCUGAGUUCUGUGUUCAGCCUGACCCUUCUAUACCUGCAAGAUUUUGAGCAAGAUAUCACACCUGUCUUCAUGAAGGUAACAAACUGUAGAGACUAGGAACUAAGUUAGGGUCUGGUGGGGAAGUUAUGUUCUAGAUGCUUCUAGGAAUAGCACAUCUUCACGUUUGGCCUCCAACAUAUGAUGGCUUCUCCCAGGGCACUUGGGAUUGAAUACCUGCAGUGAGGAGAGUACAGUAAGUACUGGAAGCCAAUACAUGAAGCUGGUCAGAGAGAACAAGCACAUAGCUAGGCUCCCUAGCGUUCACCACCCAUGUGUAUGUAUCUGACUCUCUGGUUUUGUCUGCUUAUUAGGAUGUUGGAGCUGCAAGGGCCGCCCCGUAUAUGUUUUCCUCACUACUGCAGCCCCAGGACCAGUGCAGUCCCUGGCCAUUGCGGAUCCUCAAUUACUCUGUGAAUGGAAAUACAACCAAAGUUCUAUUUCCAUUCUGCUCAGUAACAACACAAUGUGCGCUUCGGCCACCUCGGCUGGCUGUGGUGAUGACCAAUGGCGAGAUGCAGUGUGUUCCCAAAGUGGAGCACAGAUGCCACUCGUAGGCUGAGGGUAAAGGUUCUUAUAACCAUAUGCUUAUUUUCAUAGAUAUUAUUGCUUAGGAGGAGGAGAAGUAAAAUUUAAGGUAAUCAAUUUAAGGAAAAGUGUACUAUUAGAUGGCAGAAAGGAAUGGUGAUAAUGGAAACAUCUGGAAAAGGCUGAGUUCCUACAUCUGGAAGGAUUCCAGGUGGCCGCCUAGCACAGUCUUCUCAGUUCAUGGAGGAGGAAAACUGAGGCCCAGGAGCUAUCGGUGCUGGAAGUAAGCUGAGCUCUGGGUAACCAAGGAAAGAGGAGUAGGGCUGAGGCAGUGUAUUGGACUGUCUCCCAGCUUCUUCUGUCUGAGGCCUCUGAGAACCACCUGGCUGGGCCAACACAGGAGACUAGCUCGGCUGUAUAUGAGACAGUGUUUCCUAUUCCCACCAGCCCCACCCCACCUGAUCUGUUCCCCCUAGGUGCACAUGCCCUGGGUUAAUUAGUCCUGUGUCUUCUGUGUAAUCUCUCUGCCCUUGUCCCCAAGAUGCACCAAUGUGUCUCCUAAAACAAUGUAUCAAGUUGUAGUGUGGAAUCCACCUUUUCCCAAGGUAUCCCCCUUAUCUAGAAACUCCCACGGUCUCUCCCUUUCCCAUGCACACUCUCAAGAAUUACUGGUGCGGUUGGAAAUGCCAAGAGGCACCAAAGGCUCCUGUGACAGCAGCCCCCCCCACCUCGUUCCAAGCCCAGCCUCUGGUUGGCCAGUCUCCAAGCCUCAGCCACCUCCAUUACUGACAAGACAGAGACGACAGAGAUCAGUGUGCACCGUAGUCCUACUAUAGAACUCCAGGAGUAGUGUUGGUGCCACUGCCAACACUCCAUCCCCAAGACCCCUUCUCUGCAAGUGCAAACCCAGAAGGCCAGAGGGAGCCCUGUCCUUCUGCCUGGCCACAAGGCCUCUCUCCACCUGGCAUGCCCUUCCCCAUCCCAUAUACAUCCCAAACACCAUCUCUAGAAACCCUUCCCCCCGGGGCACCCCCCAACCAGGCCAUCCCACCCACCACCAGCCCCUGCAAGACUGUCAGCUCCUGGUGGGCAGGGACUGUAUCUCAUAUACCAUGUCUUCCUUUUGGAUUCUCAGCCCAACUGUAAGUUGCCAAUGUGACCUCCAAAAUAUAUUAUGAAGUCAUCCAUUUCUCCCCGGCUACCACUUCAGUACAUCAUCCCCACCUGGAUGCUUUGGAAAUCUCCUCUAGUUUGUUUGAGCUGCUGUAACAAAGUAGCACAAAGAGGGUGGCUUAAACUGUAAGAAUGUAUUUUCUCACAGCCCGCCCCCCCCCCCAGGGGAGAAGUCAGAGAUCAAAAUGGCAGUAGGCAAGAAUGGUUUCUCCUUGGCCUGGAGAUGUCUAUCUUCCACGACUUCUGUGGUCUGUGUGUUCUGUUUCCAUAUCCCAGCUUCUUGCAAGGACACCAGCUAUUUUGGAUUAGGACUCGGCCUCAUGAACCUAUUUUACCUUAAUGACCUCUUUAAAGAUCCUAUCUUUAAUAGAAUCACAUGCUGAGGUACUGGGGGUUGGAAUUUUCACACAGGAAUUUGCAGGAAAUACCACUUAGCCCAUAACACCUUCCCAUCCAAACCCCCUCAUGGUCCCCAUUCUGAGUAAAAUCAAAAUUAAAAGCCUCUUCCUUAACCAAUAAAUUCCUGUACGGUCUCACUUUUUUGUCAUCUCUCCAUCACAUUCUCCAUCUCUCGCCCUCCAUUCUAUUUUUGAGUAGACUGAGCUCCUGCCUCUGGCCAUUUGAGUUUGCUGCCUUCACUGCCUGGAAAGGUCCUCUUCAGCCAGUUAAAAAAACAGUUCUUUGGGGACCGAAAUGGGGCAAACUAUGUCAUAUGUAUUUACGAAUAUGUCUAAAUAAACCCCACUAUUAUGUACAAUUAUGAUGCACAAAUAAAAACAUUUUUUUAAAAAAAG
Molecule: long non-coding RNA, 6181 nt
Filed under: Marmota monax (woodchuck)
Lineage: Eukaryota; Metazoa; Chordata; Mammalia; Rodentia; Sciuridae
Source: RNAcentral